CACGUAGGGCGCAAGCGUUGUCCGGAAUUAUUGGGCGUAAAGAGCUCGUAGGCGGUCUGUUGCGUCCGCCGUGAAAACUCGGGGCUUAACCCCGAGCCUGCAGUGGAUACGGGCAGACUAGAGGUAGGUAGGGGAGAAUGGGAUUCCCGGUGUAGCGGUGAAAUGCGCAGAUAUCGGGAGGAACACCGGUGGCGAAGGCGGUUCUCUGGGCCUUACCUGACGCUGAGGAGCGAAAGCGUGGGGAGCGAACAGG
RNAcentral lists this ribosomal RNA (253 nucleotides) under uncultured bacterium. RNAcentral describes it as "partial 16S ribosomal RNA". It matches the Rfam family "Bacterial small subunit ribosomal RNA", at positions 524 to 776 of the family's 1533-position model. The record is from RNAcentral.